AUAGAGUUCAGCACUAUUCAUGUUUUCAGGCAUUCACUAAGGGUCUUGAAAUGUAUCCCCCAUGUAUAAGAGGAAAUUACUGUACUUAAGGGGGCGGUCAGGACAACAAGGGCGGGCUCAGGACAACAAAGGCAAACUCGGGAGCGCAGGAGAUGCUCAGGACAGCCGGGAGCAUUGAGAACCACCAGGGGGUGCUCCAGACACCAGGGGGUGUUCAGGACACCAGGAUGCGCUCAGGAAACAAGGAGGCGCUCCGGACACCAGGGUCCCUCAGAACCAC
This 280-nucleotide long non-coding RNA is filed under the name Pan troglodytes (chimpanzee). RNAcentral describes it as "long non-coding RNA NONPTRT006016". Lineage: Eukaryota; Metazoa; Chordata; Mammalia; Primates; Hominidae. The record is from RNAcentral.